Molecule: transfer RNA, 72 nt
Filed under: Ailuropoda melanoleuca (giant panda)
Lineage: Eukaryota; Metazoa; Chordata; Mammalia; Carnivora; Ursidae
Rfam family: tRNA
About the family: Transfer RNA (tRNA) molecules are approximately 80 nucleotides in length. Their secondary structure includes four short double-helical elements and three loops (D, anti-codon, and T loops).
Source: Rfam by way of RNAcentral
ACCUGGCUGGCUAGUCGGAAGAGCAUGAGACUCUUGAUCUCGGGGUUGUGAGUUCAAGCCCCACGUUGGGCA